Molecule: ribosomal RNA, 360 nt
Filed under: Triticum aestivum (bread wheat)
Lineage: Eukaryota; Viridiplantae; Streptophyta; Magnoliopsida; Poales; Poaceae
Description: partial small subunit ribosomal RNA
Source: RNAcentral
AUGAUGUACACAUGCCCCAAUCAUGAGCUCUCAAGAGGAAUUAUCUUACAGAAUUUUUAUGCUCGGCUUUCUCAUAAUGAUCAGACCAUGCUCGAUUCUUCUUCAACUGGUUUCUUUGUGAAGAAAACUAUUGAAUUCAAAUGGGAUCUUCUGGAAAAAAUUAAAUGCAACACUGAAGUUGAGGUACUCAACAAAGGUAAAGAGUCAGAUAUAACACUUAAGUUUGAUUGUGUUAAAACUUUUAUGGAUACUGAUGCUUUUCAUAAGUUUAGUACUAAAUAUGACUCUGAGAUAGUAGCUUCCUUUUGUGAAUCAUUUGCUACUCAUGUUCAUCUCCCUAAGGAGAAGUGGUUUAAAUAA